RNAcentral lists this ribosomal RNA (700 nucleotides) under uncultured bacterium. RNAcentral describes it as "bacterial SSU rRNA". It matches the Rfam family "Bacterial small subunit ribosomal RNA", at positions 60 to 804 of the family's 1533-position model. The record is from RNAcentral.
AGUCGAGCGCCGUAGCAAUACGGAGCGGCAGACGGGAGAGUAACACGUGGGAACGUGCCCUUCAGUUCGGAACAACCCAGGGAAACUUGGGCUAAUACCGGAUACGUCCGUAAGGAGAAAGAUUUAUCGCUGAAGGAUCGGCCCGCGUCUGAUUAGCUAGUUGGUGAGGUAAUGGCUCACCAAGGCGACGAUCAGUAGCUGGUCUGAGAGGAUGAUCAGCCUCACUGGGGAUGAGACACGGCCCAGGAUCCUACGGGAGGCAGCAGUGGGGAAACAUUGGACAAUGGGCGCAAGCCUGAUCCAGCCAUGCCGCGUGGGUGAUGAAGGCCCUAGGGUUGUAAAGCCCUUUCGGCGGGGAAGAUAAUGACGGUACCCGCAGAAGAAGCCCCGGCUAACUUCGUGCCAGCAGCCGCGGUAAUACGAAGGGGGCUAGCGUUGCUCGGAAACCACUGGGCGUAAAGCGCACGUAGGCGGCUUUUUAAGUCAGGGGUGAAAUCCUGGAGCUCAACUCCAGAACUGCCCUUGAUACUGAGAAGCUUGAGUCCGGGAGAGGUGAGUGGAACUGCGAGUGUAGAGGUGAAAUUCGUAGAUAUUCGCAAGAACACCAGUGGCGAAGGCGGCUCACUGGCCCGGUACUGACGCUGAGGUGCGAAAGCGUGGGGAGCAAACAGGAUUAGAUACCCUGGUAGUCCACGCCGUA